AUUGAACGCUGGCGGAAUGCUUUACACAUGCAAGUCGAACGGCAGCACGGACUUCGGUCUGGUGGCGAGUGGCGAACGGGUGAGUAAUGUAUCGGAACGUGCCCAGUCGUGGGGGAUAACGCAGUGAAAAUUACGCUAAUACCGCAUACGAUCUAUGGAUGAAAGCGGGGGAUCGCAAGACCUCGCGCGAUUGGAGCGGCCGAUAUCAGAUUAGGUAGUUGGUGGGGUAAAGGCCCACCAAGCCAACGAUCUGUAGCUGGUCUGAGAGGACGACCAGCCACACUGGAACUGAGACACGGUCCAGACUCCUACGGGAGGCAGCAGUGGGGAAUUUUGGACAAUGGGCGAAAGCCUGAUCCAGCCAUUCCGCGUGCAGGAUGGAGGCCCUCGGGUUGUAAACUGCUUUUGUACAGAACGAAAAGGUUUCUACUAAUACUAGGAGCUCAUGACGGUACUGUAAGAAUAAGCACCGGCUAACUACGUGCCAGCCGCCGCAGUAA
RNAcentral lists this ribosomal RNA (500 nucleotides) under uncultured bacterium. Its description in RNAcentral is "partial 16S ribosomal RNA". It matches the Rfam family "Bacterial small subunit ribosomal RNA", at positions 30 to 523 of the family's 1533-position model. The record is from RNAcentral.